This 253-nucleotide ribosomal RNA is filed under the name uncultured bacterium. Its description in RNAcentral is "partial 16S ribosomal RNA". It matches the Rfam family "Bacterial small subunit ribosomal RNA", at positions 524 to 776 of the family's 1533-position model. The record is from RNAcentral.
UACAGAGGUCCCAAGCGUUGUUCGGAUUCACUGGGCGUAAAGGGUGCGUAGGCGGUCGGGUAAGUCUGACGUGAAAUCUCCGGGCCUAACCCGGAAACUGCGUCGGAUACUAUCCGGCUAGAGGAUUGGAAGGGAGACUGGAAUACUUGGUGUAGCAGUGAAAUGCGUAGAUAUCAAGUGGAACACCAGUGGCGAAGGCGAGUCUCUGGACAAUUCCUGACACUGAGGCACGAAAGCCAAGGGAGCAAACAGG